UCCCGUCUUCCACAGACCACCCCAUCCUUCCCCUCCCCUCUGGCUGGCCGUGUCCUCCCUCCCUGAGAUCUCAGAGCUGCGGCUGGAGACCUGCGGCUGGAGACCUGCGUGGCGUGUCGCGUCUCCGCCCGUCCCGUGCCGGUGCCGUAUCCUCCCCCAAAGCCUCACAACCCCGCCCCGCCCGCAAGAUCCCGCUGCUGCCUGGGCCGGUGACCAUGGCCGGGUUUUCCCAGUACGGCGGAGACACCAGGUGUACUAGAUUGUGACUGGGAUCCCCCCACCUGUCUCAGAGAACAACCUUGUCCAUGGAUCAGCCCCCUCCUCGGACCUCGACAAACCACAGUGCUUGUGACUGUUGUUAGCUGGCCGAGUUCCCAAAAGAAGAUUCCUGCAGACUUCUAUAUAGCAUGAAAUCACUGUUGAUGACCUCUUAAC
Non-coding RNA from Phascolarctos cinereus (koala), 435 nucleotides. Lineage: Eukaryota; Metazoa; Chordata; Mammalia; Diprotodontia; Phascolarctidae. The record is from RefSeq and is a predicted model, not a curated record.